AGCGGCCGCGCCUCCGUUCCCAAACUCUCAAUGGUGCAGACGUAUCUCGCUCGUGUACGCGCGUCAAAAAUUUUCCUGGCCUGGCAAGUGGUCGCACAUCCUAUUCAAAUCCUUCGUCGCAGCAAGCGCGAAUCGUCGAUAAAGUCGCGCGAGCCAGAUACAGUCUCACCAUUUGAGAUGGCGGAUUCACAUGAAGAGACAGGGAUAAAGAGAGACAAAGAAUUGCUGUAAUGCAGGUUCAAGCCAGGAUUAUCUCGGGAGAUGAUUCCGUUUCGCACUCCGUCCUUCAUUGUAUAGCAGCCUCUCAUCGGACUGGUUCGGUAAACUGUAUCGAAACCAUUUUCUCUUGAAGUUUCCAAACUAGUCGAUUAAUUUUUUAUACAGUAUUUAUAGAGAACGGAGAAAAAGACUAAAUAAUUUUAUAUAAAGCUAUUUGUACAUUUCUUGUAAAGUUACAUCAGUAUUGUAAUUACAUUGUGAUAAUGUUUCCAAAGAAUUUAAGUUUUUGUGUAAUAAUUUUUGAAAAGAUGUAACUAGCAAAAAGAAAUUAGGAAAAUUAAUCAUUUGUAAAUUGAAAUUUUUUGUAUAAAGUUGCUGAUUUUUUUUUUUUUUUUUUUUUCGUGUUUGUAAAAUUUGAUACACAGCCUACCAAACCUUAGCAUAUUAGUAUAAAUUUCUAUAAAACUACACUGUUAAGGAUGAAUGCAACAAGGAAGAUGAUCUCAUGUAAAUAUCUAAACCAUUGUGAUAUUUCAAAUUUUUUUUACUGUAUAAGAUACUUAAAUAAAAAACUGUGAUCUAGAAUUUUUAUAUGUUAGAAGAGGAAGUUGUUACAAAGACGUAUGAAAAUAAAUAUGUUUUGCAAGUAACCCAAGUAAAACCAUUUUUCUUUCUUAAUUUCUCUGUUUAUAUAUGCGUGACAAAGUAUUAAUAUGUGUACUGUGUCGAUCCUUUUCAGUAUGCUGAAUAGAGUCCUAAGAACUUAGAAGGUUGUCGACAAGAUCGUCGUCGUUGGCGGCGACGGCGGCGGCGGCGGCAGCUUAAAAACGUACCUAUAAGAUCGCAGUAAAACGGAAAGCGAACAAGGCAAGCGAGGGGUAGUAUAUUCUUAUCUCAAUGAAAAGGGAAGGGAAAAGUCUUUGCUUUUAGAGGAGGGAGGCAUCCUAGCAAGCGUGCAAACUUGGAUCGAUGACCACAGGCCUUGUACUGUUGGCGAUUUUUACCGCAAGAACAACAUUAAAGGGCUUUGUUCCGUAGCUACACAUACGAAUACUUUAUUUCACCAAUUAAAAUCAAAUUGAUCGAUUUGGAAUCUAUUUAAAAUUUAAAUGUAAAUUCGUUCCUAUGUGAUAGUUGCACCCUGAACGAGGAACGGCGCAUGGCUCACUAGAUCACUAGCCGCUAUAACACCAAACACGUCAUAACUGCAAAACAUUGAGAAGCGUCUCGCGUAGUGAGCUUCUAUUUUACCUCAGACGACCAGGUGUGUUCCCAAAUUCAUAAUAAUCAAUUCUCAUUGAAACAAGAUUUGUUUCCAAUUUAUAUGGAGAUUCGGCCAUGCCAAGAGUCGUACGUACACCUCGUGUAAGGUAAUUUAACCAUGCAAACAUGGGAAUCUAUUAAGAAAAAAAAAUUGCCGACAUGCUUUUUCCUCUAACAUAUAUAUGCGUUUGUUGUCAUAAUAUAUUUUGAUAAAUUUCAUCAUUUUUGGUCAUGUCAAGACCCCCGUCCCAUCUAGGAUAGGAUGUUAAUUCAUAUGUUCUAGAGUUUGAAGAUGAGUAUGUUUGAAGAAUGUGAAGUAUUAUUGAAGAUUCCGAACAAAUGUAGAGAACGCGAUAGGAUGUUAAUGCAUAUGUUCUAGAGUUUGAAGCUGAGUAUGUGUUUGGAGACUGAAAUAUUGAAGAUUCUAAAACAGAUGUGGGGAAUGCGAUAAAUUGCUGGCGGGAGAGUAAAUGUGUAAAGAGACGUAUGUUAUAUUAGUGUGAUUUAUAUGUAUAUAUUCAGAACAGAAGAAGGAAAUAUUAGGUUGUCUCACUCUUCGGUAACAUUGAUCUCAAUCUAAGUAGAAAUAUGUUUAUUAUUACCAAUAGAUAAUUUGUGCUUUUUAAUGUCUUUUUUUUUCCAAGUGUAUUGUCGAGUUUAUCUGUAGAAUCUGAAGAUUCGAGGAUCUAACAACCCCCGGAAAAAAAAAACUCAAGCGUUCAGGAAUUCCAAGGGCUCUUCCCGUCUCUAGGAAUAUCUAGAAAAACUAUCCAAAGCUUUCGGAAUUAAGACAUCUUGAAAUUUAGAAAACUCAAAAUUUAGCACUGGAAGGAAAAUGGAUAACUUGCACUGAGGAAAAAUAGUAUAGGAAUGAAAAACACCUAAGUAGCACACAUAAUACAGAUGAGAUUGAUUGUGGUUUCCAUAUAUAUAUAUAUAUGUUUAUAUAUAUAUAUACUUGGGGGAGGGGGGGGUUUCUCAUGUGUAGAAGAAUUGUUUCGUUGUAGAGAAACAAUAUCGUGAAAAGAAAAUCGGUUUGGUGUUGAAGAGGAUCGGAUCGACCCUUGCUCGGAUAGAUGUGCAGAGGCUAUUAAAGCGGGAAAAUCGGGCUUGGAAAUCUCUCGGAAAUUUUCACGGGCUGAUCUCCUUCCGGAAAAAUCACGAAUCAUCAAGGUGUUCACUUUGUUUGCUAAUAGAAAUGUCAAAGAAGACGUAGGUCUGAGCAGUUCCUAGUAUUUCGGAGUUCACUUCACAAUGAUGGUAGACGAGUUCCCCUUUUUUAACGCAUGCGCGACAACACGGCGGUGACAUGCGUGAAGUGGCAUACAGUCUUGCCGGGCCCCGAUCUACAGAUAAAAGAGAGGUUAAGAGGAACUAAAUCUGUACUUUCUAUUUGCUUUCACUGCGUAUGCGACACCGGCCCACUUAAAACUGUAUAGAUUUCUUGCUGUCCUGUAUAAAUGAAUCCGCAUACCGCCAGUAAGAGAGGAAGUUGUCGGGAAGUUCUACCAAUUUUUAAGAUGAUCCGUGGAUCGAUAUAGGCUGUAGAGCUAUCAAGAAACAGGUCAUUCGUCAGAUGUAAGUUCGUGUUACACCCACCAUGCAAAAAUAUCAUCACAAUUGGCAAGAGGCUGCUUUUGAUCGUAACCAAAGUGAAGUGCAACAUUCACAACUCUCGAAGAAAAUGACGGUUGCGGCUUCAAACUCGGAAGAUAUCAUCAACAGAAGAUCAUUCCUGUUAGACGAGCUUCUCAUUUGAUGGAAUCAUCACUUAAAGAUUAAAUUAUCCGAAGAUUUUGUUUCUUAUAGACCAACAACUAACUUCUAUUAUAUGGAUCAUCGCUUAAAGAUUUAAAAUUAUCCGAAGAUUGUUUCUUAGACGAACUUCUAUUAUAUAUAGAUAAAUCACUUUUGAAGAUUAGAUUGUCCGAAGAUUGUUUCUUAUAGACCGAACUUCUAUUAUAUGGAUCAUCACUUAAAGAUUAAAUUAUCCGAAGAUUGUUUCUUAGACGAACUUCUAUUAUAUAGAUAAUCACUCGAAGAUCAGAUUGUCCAAAGAUGAUUCCUGGUACGUGAUGACAUCAAUUGAAGAUCUAUUUUUAGUAGACGAGCUUUUUACGUUAGAAGAAGAAUCAUCAUUGAAGAUUAUAUUAUCUGAAGAUCGUUUCUGGCAGAGAACUUCACAACUAUUGUAUUCUAUCAUCGCUUAAAGAUUUGUACUAUUUGAAGAUUGCUCUUAUUAAAUUUGUUGUUAGAAAUUUCUCGUGAAAAAUCAGUGAAAUUAUAAGUGAAAGUACGAAACAUUGCUGAAUAUAUAUUUCCAGUAUAAAUCAAACUUUUUACUAAAAGUAACUUGCUAUUUUAAUACGUAUUUUAUACCGAAGUUUUUAUUGACGUUUUCGUUGUAUAAUAUGAAAUUUUACAGGACGAAAGUGAUAUAGAUUUAUAUCAACUGUUAUAGAUUUCAACAUAUAAUUCAGUAAUGUUUCAGUAAAAUAUUUUUCUAUCAAAGUGUAUGUGAGUGAGUGAGUGUGUGUGUGUGUGUGUGUGUGUGUGUGUGUGU
This is a long non-coding RNA of Pseudomyrmex gracilis, 4045 nucleotides long. RefSeq lists it as uncharacterized. The transcript has 3 exons. NCBI's taxonomy places the organism in Eukaryota, Metazoa, Arthropoda, Insecta, Hymenoptera, Formicidae. The record is from RefSeq and is a predicted model, not a curated record.